ACGUGCCAGCAGCCGCGGUAAUACGUAGGGUGCAAGCGUUGUCCGGAAUUAUUGGGCGUAAAGAGCUCGUAGGCGGUUUGUCGCGUCUGCUGUGAAAUCUGGGGGCUCAACCCCCAGCCUGCAGUGGGUACGGGCAGACUAGAGUGCGGUAGGGGAGAUUGGAAUUCCUGGUGUAGCGGUGGAAUGCGCAGAUAUCAGGAGGAACACCGAUGGCGAAGGCAGAUCUCUGGGCCGUAACUGACGCUGAGGAGCGAAAGCAUGGGGAGCGAACAGGAUUAGAUACCCUGGUAGUCCAUGCCGUAAACGUUGGGAACUAGAUGUAGGGGCCAUUCCACGGUUUCUGUGUCGCAGCUAACGCAUUAAGUUCCCCGCCUGGGGAGUACGGCCGCAAGGCUAAAACUCAAAGGAAUUGACGGGGGCCCGCACAAGCGGCGGAGCAUGCGGAUUAAUUCGAUGCAACGCGAAGAACCUUACCAAGGCUUGACAUAUACCGGAAACGUCCAGAGAUGGUCGCCCCGCAAGGUCGGUAUACAGGUGGUGCAUGGUUGUCGUCAGCUCGUGUCGUGAGAUGUUGGGUUAAGUCCCGCAACGAGCGCAACCCUCGUUCUAUGUUGCCAGCACGUUAUGGUGGGAACUCAUAGGAGACUGCCGGGGUCAACUCGGAGGAAGGUGGGGAUGACGUCAAAUCAUCAUGCCCCUUAUGUCUUGGGCUUCACGCAUGCUACAAUGGCCGAUACAAAGGGCUGCAAUACCGUAAGGUGGAGCGAAUCCCAAAAAGUCGGUCUCAGUUCGGAUUGAGGUCUGCAACUCGACCUCAUGAAGUCGGAGUCGCUAGUAAUCGCAGAUCAGCAACGCUGCGGUGAAUACGUUCCCGGGCCUUGUACACACCGCCCGUCAAGUCAUGAAAGUCGGUAACACCCGAA
RNAcentral lists this ribosomal RNA (923 nucleotides) under Frondihabitans sp. RNAcentral's name for it is "bacterial SSU rRNA". It matches the Rfam family "Bacterial small subunit ribosomal RNA", at positions 503 to 1425 of the family's 1533-position model. The record is from RNAcentral. Lineage: Bacteria; Bacillati; Actinomycetota; Actinomycetes; Micrococcales; Microbacteriaceae.